RNAcentral lists this ribosomal RNA (449 nucleotides) under uncultured bacterium. RNAcentral describes it as "partial 16S ribosomal RNA". It matches the Rfam family "Bacterial small subunit ribosomal RNA", at positions 328 to 792 of the family's 1533-position model. The record is from RNAcentral.
GCUCCAGACUCCUACGGGAGGCAGCAGUGGGGGAUAUUGCACAAUGGGGGAAACCCUGAUGCAGCGACGCCGCGUGGGCGAAGAAGUAUUUCGGUAUGUAAAGCCCUAUCAGCAGGGAAGAAGAAAUGACGGUACCUGAGUAAGAAGCACCGGCUAAAUACGUGCCAGCAGCCGCGGUAAUACGUAUGGUGCAAGCGUUAUCCGGAUUUACUGGGUGUAAAGGGAGCGCAGGCGGCACGGCAAGCCUGAUGUGAAAGCCCGCGGCCCAACCGCGGGACUGCAUUUGGAACUGUGCUGCUAGAGUGUCGGAGAGGCAGGCGGAAUUCCUAGUGUAGCGGUGAAAUGCGUAGAUAUUAGGAGGAACACCAGUGGCGAAGGCGGCCUGCUGGACGAUGACUGACGUUGAGGCUCGAAAGCGUGGGGAGCAAACAGGAUUAGAUACCCCUGUA